RNAcentral lists this ribosomal RNA (467 nucleotides) under uncultured bacterium. RNAcentral's name for it is "partial 16S ribosomal RNA". It matches the Rfam family "Bacterial small subunit ribosomal RNA", at positions 28 to 506 of the family's 1533-position model. The record is from RNAcentral.
GACGAACGCUGGCGGCGUGCUUAACACAUGCAAGUCGAACGGAAAGGCCCUGCUUUUGUGGGGUGCUCGAGUGGCGAACGGGUUAGUAACACGUGAGUAACCUGCCCUUGACUUUGGGAUAACUUCAGGAAACUGGGGCUAAUACCUGAUAGGAUCUCCUGCUGCAUGUUGGGGGUUGGAAAGUUUCGGCGGUUGUGGAUGGUCUCGCGGCUUAUCAGCUUUUUUGUGUGGUAGUGGCUUACCAAGGCUUUGACGGGUAGCCGGCCUGAGAGGGUGACGGGCAAAAGAGGGACUGAGAUACGGCCGAGACGCAUAAGGGAGGAAGGAGUGGGGAAUAUAGAAAAAUGGGCGGAAGCAUGAUGCAGAAACGCCGCGUGCGGGAUGACGGCCUUCGGGUUGUAAACCGCUUUCGACUGUGACGAAGCGUGAGUGACGGAAAUGGGUAAAGAAGCACCGGCUAACUACGU